This is a long non-coding RNA of Helianthus annuus (common sunflower), 501 nucleotides long. RefSeq lists it as uncharacterized. Lineage: Eukaryota; Viridiplantae; Streptophyta; Magnoliopsida; Asterales; Asteraceae. The record is from RefSeq and is a predicted model, not a curated record. The transcript is spliced from 4 exons.
CGUGAGAGAAGCCAGGAGAGAGCUUUUCCCCUUAAGAACCCUAACAUACUAAAUCCUUCAAAUUAAAGAGGAGAUUGAAGGCUAGUGGAAUGCAUGGAUUAAGAAUGAUGAUCCCCUAAGCAUUUCCUACAUCAAGAACGAGAGUAAAGGAAAGCUUGAGUCAUACCCAAGAUAAAGUGACGAAAAAUCAAGGAACGAGAGUAAAGGAAAGCUUGAGUCAUACCCAAGAUAAAGUGACGAAAAAUCAAGGUAAUCCUCACUUUAGGCGAAUUGGAGAAUUGGAGCGAGCACGUGUCCAUGUCAUGUUAUACCAAACGCUUCCGCUAGAUUAUUCUCAUCCUUUUGGUCCAUGACUUGUUAUUUUGUCCAACUUUGUUAGUAGUUGUACAUUUGUAAAACUUGUCGUCUUUGCUUUUGGUAGUUUUAUGUCAACGGGUCGUAGAAUGUUAUUUGAAUGAUUAUGUUAAAACCAGGGGGCACAUUCGUUUUACGAACGGGUCA